Molecule: long non-coding RNA, 210 nt
Filed under: Gallus gallus (chicken)
Lineage: Eukaryota; Metazoa; Chordata; Aves; Galliformes; Phasianidae
Source: RNAcentral
GCUCCUCGUGCACACAGCCCGGUGCACAACAGCAAUGGAGGUGAAGACAGCUGCAAAGCCGGUCAGGUACACCACACCCAGGAGGCAGGCCAGCUUCACCACUUGCUGGUAGAAGUGGCCCAGUGCUUGCUGCCACAUGGACUGCUCCAUGAGGACACACAGAUCCGUGUAGGUGAACCAGCCGCGCCACAUGCCCUGCUUCUCUGCCAC